UNGUCAUCUAUAGUCCUAAUGCCCCCAC
Molecule: non-coding RNA, 28 nt
Filed under: Mus musculus (house mouse)
Lineage: Eukaryota; Metazoa; Chordata; Mammalia; Rodentia; Muridae
Source: RNAcentral